UACGUAGGGGGCAAGCGUUGUCCGGAAUCAUUGGGCGUAAAGCGCGCGUAGGCGGCCCGGUAAGUCCGCUGUAAAAGUCCAGGGCUCAACCCUGGAAAGCCGGUGGAUACUGUCGGGCUAGAGUCCGGAAGAGGCGAGUGGAAUUCCUGGUGUAGCGGUGAAAUGCGCAGAUAUCAGGAAGAACACCUAUGGCGAAGGCAGCACUCUGGGACGGUACUGACGCUGAGACGCGAAAGCGUGGGGAGCGAACAGG
RNAcentral lists this ribosomal RNA (253 nucleotides) under uncultured bacterium. RNAcentral's name for it is "partial 16S ribosomal RNA". It matches the Rfam family "Bacterial small subunit ribosomal RNA", at positions 524 to 776 of the family's 1533-position model. The record is from RNAcentral.